AGUGAACGCUGGCGGUAGGCCUAACACAUGCAAGUCGAACGGCAGCACAGUAAGAGCUUGCUCUUACGGGUGGCGAGUGGCGGACGGGUGAGGCAUACAUCGCAAUCUACUUUUUCGUGGGGGAUAACGUAGGGAAACUUACGCUAAUACCGCAUACGACCUACGGGUGAAAGCAGGGGAUCUUCGGACCUUGCGCGAUUGAAUGAGCCGAUGUCGGAUUAGCUAGUUGGCGGGGUAAAGGCCCACCAAGGCGACGAUCCGUAGCUGGUCUGAGAGGAUGAUCAGCCACACUGGAACUGAGACACGGUCCAGACUCCUACGGGAGGCAGCAGUGGGGAAUAUUGGACAAUGGGCGCAAGCCUGAUCCAGCAAUACCGCGUGAGUGAAGAAGGCCUUCGGGUUGUAAAGCCCUUUUGUUGGGAAAGAAAAGCAGCAGGUUAAUACCCCGCUGUUCUGACGGUACCCAAAGAAUAAGCACCGGCUAACUUCGUG
Molecule: ribosomal RNA, 492 nt
Filed under: uncultured bacterium
Lineage: Bacteria
Description: partial 16S ribosomal RNA
Rfam family: Bacterial small subunit ribosomal RNA
Source: RNAcentral